UGCAGUCGAACGGCNGCGCGGGCAACCUGGCGGCGNAGUGGCGAACGGGUGAGUAAUAUAUCGGAACGUACCCAAGAGUGGGGGAUAACGUAGCGAAAGUUACGCUAAUACCGCAUACGAUCCAUGGAUGAAAGCGGGGGAUCUUCGGACCUCGUGCUCCUGGAGCGGCCGAUAUCUGAUUAGCUAGUUGGUGAGGUAAAGGCUCACCAAGGCGACGAUCAGUAGCUGGUCUGAGAGGACGACCAGCCACACUGGGACUGAGACACGGCCCAGACUCCUACGGGAGGCAGCAGUGGGGAAUUUUGGACAAUGGGCGCAAGCCUGAUCCAGCAAUGCCGCGUGAGUGAAGAAGGCCUUCGGGUUGUAAAGCUCUUUUGUCAGGGAAGAAACG
This 391-nucleotide ribosomal RNA is filed under the name uncultured bacterium. Its description in RNAcentral is "bacterial SSU rRNA". It matches the Rfam family "Bacterial small subunit ribosomal RNA", at positions 56 to 452 of the family's 1533-position model. The record is from RNAcentral.